UCCCGGCCGGAGCUCUUUUCACAUUGUGCUACUGUCUGCGCCCGUCACUAGCAGUGCAAUGUAAUAAGGGGCUUCGGCGGGGCA
Molecule: microRNA precursor, 84 nt
Filed under: Ornithorhynchus anatinus (platypus)
Lineage: Eukaryota; Metazoa; Chordata; Mammalia; Monotremata; Ornithorhynchidae
Description: mir-130 microRNA precursor family
Rfam family: mir-130 microRNA precursor family
About the family: The hairpin precursors (represented here) are predicted based on base pairing and cross-species conservation -- their extents are not known. In this case the mature sequence is excised from the 3' arm of the hairpin.
Source: Rfam by way of RNAcentral